UCAACACUUAGCAAAAUAUCAACAUUUAGAGCCCUUUUUUUUCCCCACUGUUUCGGCCAGCCAAGGGGAGAUCCAAUCCCAUUUUUUUAACUUCCCUAAAAUUAUUUCCUUGGUGUUAACCCACUAUAUUGAGGUCCCUAAGUAGCGUGGAAGAGUUGUUUGGGUCAUCCAACCAUUUGUUGUACCCAUUUGCAAACCCUAGCUAUUUGGUGGAUUGAAGAGAAAAGACCUUGGGGAGCCCGAGGCGUAGAUUUGGAGUGGCUUUAGAUUGGCUAGCUUGGAAGUGCGUUCGAGGUACAGACGCACAGUUCAGUGAUCCCUCAGUUUAGGAUAUCCCCUUCAGCUAUUCGGAGUGCUCUUCUCAUUUCAGAGCAUACACUUUUGAUGACUAUGUACUUGAGAGUCACUAAAACAGUCAAGUUAAACGUUAAGGAAUCAGAUAGGAUUGAAAAUGUCAAAGCGUUGCUACAUGAUAAGGAGGGCAUACGGGUAUGUCAUCAGCAACUUGUUUCAGAAGAUAAUAGGCUAAUGGAUGAACGGAAGCUUGUUGAUUAUGGCAUUUGCGAAAACUCCACCCUUCAUACUUAUGUGGAAGAUUCAGUGAUCCCAGUGAUAUUAUUAUAUGUAAAAAGAUCAUAUGCUGAAGGUGCAUUUACGGUUUAUUCAAGGAUUUAUGAUACCGUCAAGGAUGUCAAAUCUAGGAUUGCGGCCAAAGAAGGAACAAACUCGGAAGAAUUCUCUCUUAUUCAUGACGACUCCCUCUUACAGGUGGUACCGGGAACAAUGCAGAUCUUUAUCAGGAAAUGUAACAGUGAAAGUAUAAUGCUAGAUGUGCACAGGCACGAUUUAAUAAAGGAUGUGAAGGGCAUGCUUCUAAAUAAGCUAGCAAUACCACUUCAUUUGCAAAAUCUUGUGUUUGCGAGAAAAUGUUUAGCUGAUUCCCGGGAUUUAGCUAGCUACAAUAUUCACAAGGAGUCGAUUCUGUAUUUGGUCCUACACAUGACACCCAACGUCGACAAUGCCAGAUGAAAUUAUGUUCAGUCAUAGGUGUGGCAAAUUCUCUUACCAGCUCAACCCCCAUUGCUCAUUUGAAUAAGUUAACCGCGAACGAAGUAAAACAACCCGUGAAGGAACUAAUCGUAGGUGGCACACUUGUGAACUUCUCUCUCUGUCUUGAUGACUAUGGAAUCACUGGAGUUGUUCCUCGUGUAUUGAGUGCUUUGGCCUACUUGUGCCAUAUAUACAAAGACAGCAAGUUGUCCGCUGCAUCGCUUGUGAACAUGUUGUUUUUGAUAUUUGGUAUGUUAUGAACUUUUGUUGUUUUAAAAUCCUCUUGGAUUACCUAGUUGCAUGCAUGGACCAAAGUAACAUCGAAAACCAAUAUUGGACCAUUGUUUUAAUGUGCUUUAUCAGGGUUGUUGAAUCAAUCUAUUUCAUAAUACUGAAAAUCAUGAUUAGAAGUUCCUUAACUUGUUUAAUUUGCUUUUCAAAUUCUGUUGAAUCCCUCUAUUUGAUUUCAAAUGUCCUUAAAUAUGUCUAGGUUUUUUCUUUAUCUUAUAUAUGCUAUUCGAUAGUCGGAUUACUGAAGCUUCAUUAUCAGUUUUAUUUGGAAUGAACUAUAUGUUUCUCUACCAGAGCUGUAAAUAGAGUUGUUGAGUCUAUGAAAAAGAACAUAAGGUUUGAAGUG
Molecule: RNA transcript, 1687 nt
Organism: Lycium barbarum (goji berry)
Lineage: Eukaryota; Viridiplantae; Streptophyta; Magnoliopsida; Solanales; Solanaceae
Exons: 5
Source: RefSeq, a predicted model, not a curated record